Molecule: ribosomal RNA, 1749 nt
Filed under: Triticum aestivum (bread wheat)
Lineage: Eukaryota; Viridiplantae; Streptophyta; Magnoliopsida; Poales; Poaceae
Description: partial small subunit ribosomal RNA
Source: RNAcentral
AUGAAGACUCGCGAAUACUCUUCCAUAGAAGAAUAUUUCAAAGCGAGGACAAAUGUCCAAAAGUUGCAGGUAGUAUCAAGAGAGAUCUUGAAGAAAUGUGGUGGUGUACCAUUAGCCAUCAUUACAAUAGCUAGCCUACUUGCUAGUAAUCAACGGGUAAAGCAAAAAUAUGAGUGGAUGCAUUUGCACAAUUCGAUUGGCCGUGGAGUUACACAAGGUGAUAUUGUGAAGGAGAUGAACAGGAUAUUAUCACUCAGCUAUUAUGAUUUGCCAUCUCAUCUGAAGCCUUGUUUAUUAUAUCUAAGCAUCUUUCCUGAAGACUUUGAGAUUAAUAGAGAUUGGCUGAUAUGGAGGUGGCUUGCUGAAGGGUUUAUCCAAUGUGACAAAGAAGAAACCAGGCUGUUUGAGAUCGGAGAGAGCUACUUCAAUGAGCUCAUGAACAGGAGCUUGAUCCAGCCAGCGGAAAUCAAUGAUGAAGGAACGGUAGUAACUUGCCGUAUACAUGAUAUGGUGCUUCACCUUAUAUGCUCACUGUCAAGUGCGGAAAAUUUUAUCUCCAUAUUGAAUAAUGCUGAGUGGCAUGCACCUAAUCUGCAAAGGAAGUUUCGCGGAUUAUCACUUCAUAAUAUCAAGGCAAAGGUUCAGAACCAUCAGUUUGAUAGCACUAGCCUGUCAAAAGUGACGACCUUUGCUGUUUUUUCUCCCGUUGCUUGUGAUUGGUUGCCAUCUCUCUCAAGCUUCCAAUUUUUACGUGUGCUGGAUCUUGGAAAUUGUGGCAGCCGUGAAAGUAGCUCUGGUCUCAACCUCAAGUAUGUUGGGAAUUUGAUUCACCUAAGGUACUUAGGGCUCAAGGGUGCAGAUGUUCACGAACUCCCAGUGGACAUAAGCAAGCUGCAGCUUUUGCAGAUACUGGACAUACAAGGAACUAGAAUAAAUGAGUUACCUGCAAGUAUUGUUCAACUAAGAAAUUUGAUAUGCCUAUCUGUCGAUAGUGGCUUGAGGCUGCCAAAAGGAAUGGGGAACUUGAUGUCCCUUGAAGUGCUGGAACGAGUAGGCUUAUCCUCAUCUCCUCACAUUGUGGAAGAGUUGAGGCAUCUGACAGAGGUUAUGACACUCAGUAUUAACUGUGAUAACAUGGACGAGGAUCUGAUUGAUAUAUUAAUCAAGUCUCUAGGCAAACUGCACAAAUUGCAAAAUCUGCAUAUUGAUGAUGGUGGCAGAUUGAUAGAUUGCAUGUGUGAAAGUUGGGUGCCCCCUCCAAACCUUCGUAGUUUUGAUUCAUGGGACCCCUUCUUUUUCUUUUCGUCGUUAUGCAGACUUCCAAAGUGGGUCAAUUCAAGGUCGCUUCCCCACCUCUCCAGCCUGGCCAUAGAUGUGGAAGAACUGCAAGGGGAUGACGUUCAGAUCAUUGGGAUGCUGCCUGCUCUUCGGUCUCUGCGACUUGCUGCAAAACGAGUGAUGGGAACGUUGGUUGUGAGGGCCGAUGCAUUCCAAUCUGCGAGAUGCUGCAAGUUCUACGGGUUUCUGACUUGGCCAUGCCUUUUUCCACCUGGAGCUAUGCCAAGGGUUCAACACCUUGAGUUCUGGGUAUCUUAUUGGUCGAUCGCGAUUGGUGAGGUUGACUGUGGCAUGAACCACCUCCCUUCUCUCGAGCAUGUCGAUGAAGAGGUGGAUAUAGCCAAGGCUUUGCUGAGGCGCGCAACAGAAGCCCAUCCAAAACGUCCCACCAUUGAAAUCUAUUCGACAUAA